GAAGCUUGCUUCCUGAUUUAGCGGCGGACGGGUGAGUAAUGCCUAGGAAUCUGCCUGGUAGUGGGGGAUAACGUUCCGAAAGGAACGCUAAUACCGCAUACGUCCUACGGGAGAAAGCAGGGGACCUUCGGGCCUUGCGCUAUCAGAUGAGCCUAGGUCGGAUUAGCUAGUUGGUGAGGUAAUGGCUCACCAAGGCUACGAUCCGUAACUGGUCUGAGAGGAUGAUCAGUCACACUGGAACUGAGACACGGUCCAAACUCCUACGGGAGGCAGCAGUGGGGAAUAUUGGACAAUGGGCGAAAGCCUGAUCCAGCCAUGCCGCGUGUGUGAAGAAGGUCUUCGGAUUGUAAAGCACUUUAAGUUGGGAGGAAGGGUUGUAGAUUAAUACUCUGCAAUUUUGACGUUACCGACAGAAUAAGCACCGGCUAACUUCGUGCCAGCAGCCGCGGUAAUACGAAGGGUGCAAGCGUUAAUCGGAAUUACUGGGCGUAAAGCGCGCGUAGGUGGUUCAGUAAGUUGGAUGUGAAAUCCCCGGGCUCAACCUGGGAACUGCAUCCAAAACUGCUGAGCUAGAGUACGGUAGAGGGUGGUGGAAUUUCCUGUGUAGCGGUGAAAUGCGUAGAUAUAGGAAGGAACACCAGUGGCGAAGGCGACCACCUGGACUGAUACUGACACUGAGGUGCGAAAGCGUGGGGAGCAAACAGGAUUAGAUACCCUGGUAGUCCACGCCGUAAACGAUG
This 740-nucleotide ribosomal RNA is filed under the name Pseudomonas kribbensis. RNAcentral describes it as "bacterial SSU rRNA". It matches the Rfam family "Bacterial small subunit ribosomal RNA", at positions 75 to 811 of the family's 1533-position model. Lineage: Bacteria; Pseudomonadati; Pseudomonadota; Gammaproteobacteria; Pseudomonadales; Pseudomonadaceae. The record is from RNAcentral.